UGAGGAAUAUUGGUCAAUGGGCGCAAGCCUGAACCAGCCAUCCCGCGUGAAGGAUGAAGGUCCUAUGGAUUGUAAACUUCUUUUAUACACCAAGAAAACUUCGGACGUGUCCGAAUCUGACGGUAGUGUAUGAAUAAGCACCGGCUAACUCCGUGCCAGCAGCCGCGGUAAUACGGAGGGUGCAAGCGUUAUCAGGAUUCAUUGGGUUUAAAGGGUGCGUAGGCGGCUUUUUAAGUCAGUGGUGAAAUCUUGCCGCUUAACUGUAAAAUUGCCAUUGAUACUGAAAAGCUUGAGUACAGUUGAGGUAGGCGGAAUGUGUAGUGUAGCGGUGAAAUGCUUAGAUAUUACACAGAACACCGAUUGCGAAGGCAGCUUACUAAACUGUUACUGACGCUGAUGCACGAAAGCGUGGGGAGCGAACA
RNAcentral lists this ribosomal RNA (422 nucleotides) under uncultured prokaryote. RNAcentral's name for it is "bacterial SSU rRNA". It matches the Rfam family "Bacterial small subunit ribosomal RNA", at positions 355 to 774 of the family's 1533-position model. The record is from RNAcentral.